Molecule: long non-coding RNA, 2088 nt
Organism: Brienomyrus brachyistius
Lineage: Eukaryota; Metazoa; Chordata; Actinopteri; Osteoglossiformes; Mormyridae
Exons: 2
Source: RefSeq, a predicted model, not a curated record
UGACAUCCUCGUAUGCAGCCUGUAGCGCUUCUCUUAACAGCGUUGCCUGUUUGUGGAGCAUAAUGGCACUGUAUCGGUUACAGAGAGUUAAUGGUUAUUUUUUUUGUUUCUGUGCUUUUUUUCCAUCUGCCUUGGACAAACACAGUCAUUCUUAAUCUGCUGUGUGGAGCAUUUUGUGACGAAAACAAGUUGCUUGAGCAGUGAUUGGUGAUAAAUGGUUUUCUUCUUCAGUUAAUGACAUGAAAAACAUUUAGUCAUGACGCAGGAGUUUUUUCGCCACUUCCCAACAAUACAACUGGAUGACUAUGAAGAGCCAGUUAAAAGUGAUACUGUGCAUUUGUUAUGUUUUGCAUAACGAUGUACUGUGUCUUAGGCAGUCAAAGAAAAUGUUGUUUACACAAUCUUCAUGUUGGAUGUCAAUGUGUGGCAGCUUCACCAUUUUGAAACCUCUACUAACAUUGAUCCAGGAUUUGCAGCAAUUCACCCAUGUAUUUUUUCGACUUUUGAGUAAGAAAGAUCUGUUUUGAUCUGUUUCGCAUUAGUAUGUCCCGAGGAAGAAUGUCGGUGUAGAUCAAAACCACCUAAUCUAUUUCCUCUGCCUUCAGAAAAGGCUUCUCUAGUUUUCCAGUAAUUGGUGACUGUCAGCUGUUUAAAUAUUAUUGAUUUCAUUGUUUUGUCAACUGGAAUAAUGGUACAGAAUGCUUGUCUUAGGAAAGGUAAACAUAACUGUUGCAGGAUGCAAAAGUUCCCCGGAAACACGAUUCAUGAGACUGUUUUUGAUGUUCACAAACAAAUCAUGAUAUAUUUUUCCACACAUAGUUUCAACCACCCACAAACUGCAUAAUUAAGAAAGGUAAUCUUUCAGUUCAACUGGUUUCAUUAUGCAUACAAUCCAGUUCCCAUAUACCUCUGCUUGAGGUCCAUUCAAUUCAUUCGAAAAAAAAAAAAAAAAAAUUAUAAUAAUAUAUUAUAGUAGCCCAUUGGCAAUGAUCUCUUCUCAUGCAAGCUUGGCUGGACUGGCUAUCUGGCUUAUGGUAAUUUACUGGUGGGCUGGCAAAAUUUACUGAGAGGGACCCCAUCCACACAGCAAAAUAUUAUCCCCAUAAAUGGUCUGACGAUGCCCUUCUCGUGGGGCCAUCGGAGACCCCAAAGUUCAGGGCCACAUCAAGACCAAUCCUGCGCAUGAAUUAAGGAGGAAGCUGUCUAGCUUAACACUUUGAAGUGGUGCGUAUGGAUUACUGAAACCCUGAAAAAAAAAUGGUUGGUCUUUACAGCCUUUUUACUGAUGGUGUAGCUCAGCAUUUCCCAACCUGGUCUUCAGGGACCUACAGACAGUCUAAGUAGUUCAAUAUUGGCACCACUCUGAGCUAGCGUGUCGUCUCUUACCUGAGCUCCUCUUGGGGGUCUGAUAGAAAAAGCUCAGCAGCACGGAUGGCAUCAUGACGGAGAUGAGGCAUAGAGCAAUGAUGAUAUACACAUACAAGAAGGAUUCUGAAGUGGCCUCCUGGAACUCAUUUCCGUUACUUCUGUAUGGUGGAGAAGAAUCUGAAGAUCACAGGUGAACAAAUUGUUAGGGAAUUUUAACGUCAAACCAUUUUCCUGUACUGGCUCAAGCUGCUGCAUAUUUAGCUAUUCAUAAUCAUCUUUAAAACAAUACUGUUUUUAUAUAAUUUAAUAUUGUACAGAAUUUUAUAAAGUAUUAACAGUACAUUUAACUACAUCAAUCUAAAUGAUCAUUUGGAACAACAUUUAACAUUUACAUUUAACACACUUAGCAGAUUACUAUUUAUGAAUCUUCCUAGCUUGUGAAUUGAACUCAGAUAAACCCUUUUCCCCAGUGUGCACUUCAGAUACUUGUAAAGUUAGUAAAAUGUGAGUGUUAUAUGGUCUGUUAAUGGGGAAAUUUGACAUACCUGUCGUAAGCUCUUGGAAAUGGACAACGAGAGACACUGAAUUGCUCUCAUGAAAAAAUGGCGAGUUGUAGAAGAAAGUGACAGAGUAAUUCCCAGAAUCUGCCAUAGUCAGAUUCGAGAUGCUCACAAUUGCUCCUUGGGAAUUGUUUGUCAAUAAACCACGUGUGAAAAUGCA